This 546-nucleotide ribosomal RNA is filed under the name uncultured marine eukaryote. Its description in RNAcentral is "SSU rRNA". It matches the Rfam family "Eukaryotic small subunit ribosomal RNA", at positions 621 to 1172 of the family's 1831-position model. The record is from RNAcentral.
AAAACGCUCGUAGUUGGGUUUCUGUUGGGAGCACUGGUCUGCCCAAGUGGCGAGAACUUGUUCUGUUCCUGGCAUCUUCUUGGGGAACAAGCGCGCACUUCAUUGUGUGGCUCGGAAACCAGGACGUUUACUUUGAGGAAAUGAGAGUGCUUCAAGCGGGUGACCGCCACGAAUACGUUAGCAUGCAAUAAUAGCAUUGGACCUCGGAUCAUAGCUGUUGGUUGCUAGACCUGGGGUGAGGGUAAACAGGGACAGUUGGGGGCAUUCGUAUUUAACUGUCAGAGGUGAAAUUCUUGGAUUUGUUAAAGACGGACUACUGCGGAAGCAUUUGCCAAGGAUGUUUUCAUUGAUCAAGAACGAAAGUUAGGGGAUCGAAGACGAUCAGAUACCGUCCUAGUCUUAACCAUAAACUAUGCCGACUAGAGAUUGGAGGCUGUUGCUAUUCCGACGCCUUCAGCAUCUUGGGAGAAAUCAAAGUCUUUGGGUUCCGGGGGGAGUAUGGUCGCAAGGCUGAAACUUAAAGGAAUUGACGGAAGGGCACCACCA